This 66-nucleotide transfer RNA is filed under the name Lachnellula arida. RNAcentral's name for it is "tRNA-Gln". It matches the Rfam family "tRNA". From Rfam's summary of the family: Transfer RNA (tRNA) molecules are approximately 80 nucleotides in length. Their secondary structure includes four short double-helical elements and three loops (D, anti-codon, and T loops). The record is from RNAcentral. Lineage: Eukaryota; Fungi; Ascomycota; Leotiomycetes; Helotiales; Lachnaceae.
UCAUAGGUGUAAUGGUUAGCACGUCGGAUUUUGAUUCCGGAGAUAUUGGUUCGAUUCCUAUAUGAA